AUACGGAGGGUGCAAACGUUGUUCGGAAUCACUGGGCGUAAAGGGCGCGCAGGCGGUUUGAUUAGUCAGAUGUGAAAGCCCACGGCUUAACCGUGGAAGUGCAUUUGAAACUGUCAGACUUGAGUACCAGAGGGGGUAGUGGAAUUCCCGGUGUAGAGGUGAAAUUCGUAGAUAUCGGGAGGAAUACCGGUGGCGAAGGCGACUACCUGGCUGGAUACUGACGCUGAGGCGCGAAAGCGGGGGGAGCAAACAGGAUUAGAUACCCUGGUAGUCC
RNAcentral lists this ribosomal RNA (274 nucleotides) under uncultured bacterium. RNAcentral describes it as "partial 16S ribosomal RNA". It matches the Rfam family "Bacterial small subunit ribosomal RNA", at positions 523 to 796 of the family's 1533-position model. The record is from RNAcentral.